AGUGAACGCUGGCGGUAGGCCUAACACAUGCAAGUCGAACGGCAGCACAGUAAGAGCUUGCUCUUACGGGUGGCGAGUGGCGGACGGGUGAGGAAUACAUCGGAAUCUACUUUUUCGUGGGGGAUAACGUAGGGAAACUUACGCUAAUACCGCAUACGACCUACGGGUGAAAGCAGGGGAUCUUCGGACCUUGCGCGAUUGAAUGAGCCGAUGUCGGAUUAGCUAGUUGGCGGGGUAAAGGCCCACCAAGGCGACGAUCCGUAGCUGGUCUGAGAGGAUGGACCGGCACACCUGAACUUGAGCACGGGCCCGGCUCCUAAGGGAGGGCACAGUGGGGAAUAAUUGGCCAAUGGCGGAAACCUGAUCCAGGCAAACCGGGUUGGGUAAAGAGGCCUUCGGGUUGUAAAGCCCUUUUGUUGGGAAAGAAAAGCAGCAGGUUAAUACCCCGCUGUUCUGACGGUACCCAAAGAAUAAGCACCGGCUAACUUCGUG
This 492-nucleotide ribosomal RNA is filed under the name uncultured bacterium. Its description in RNAcentral is "partial 16S ribosomal RNA". It matches the Rfam family "Bacterial small subunit ribosomal RNA", at positions 29 to 507 of the family's 1533-position model. The record is from RNAcentral.